AUACGUAGGGGGCGAGCGUUGUCCGGAAUGAUUGGGCGUAAAGGGCGCGUAGGCGGCGCGGUAAGUCUGGAGUGAAAGUCCUGCUUUCAAGGUGGGAAUUGCUUUGGAUACUGCCGCGCUUGAGUGCAGGAGAGGUUAUCGGAAUUCCCGGUGUAGCGGUGAAAUGCGUAGAGAUCGGGAGGAACACCAGUGGCGAAGGCGGGUAACUGGACUGCAACUGACGCUGAGGCGCGAAAGUGUGGGGAGCAAACAGGAUUAGAUACCCUGGUGGUCCACGCGGUAAACGAUGAAUACUAGGUGUCGGGUGGCAACAGCCAUUCGGUGCCGCAGCAAACGCAAUAAGUAUUCCGCCUGGGGAGUACGUUCGCAAGAAUGAAACUCAAAUGAAUUGGCGGGG
RNAcentral lists this ribosomal RNA (397 nucleotides) under uncultured bacterium. RNAcentral describes it as "partial 16S ribosomal RNA". It matches the Rfam family "Bacterial small subunit ribosomal RNA", at positions 523 to 918 of the family's 1533-position model. The record is from RNAcentral.